GUUGAGGUGGCCGAGUGGUUAAGGCGCCAGCCUGCUAAGUUGGUGGAGUAAUCCGCGUGGGUUCGAAUCCCAUCCUCAACG
Naegleria gruberi is the source of this 81-nucleotide transfer RNA. It matches the Rfam family "tRNA". Rfam says of the family: Transfer RNA (tRNA) molecules are approximately 80 nucleotides in length. Their secondary structure includes four short double-helical elements and three loops (D, anti-codon, and T loops). Lineage: Eukaryota; Heterolobosea; Eutetramitea; Acrasida; Naegleriidae. The record is from Rfam.